GACGUGAGGAACAAACCAAGAGAUCUUACUCAGGUUGAUUUUCGCCACGUCCUCAGGUUGAUUUUCGCCACGUCGUUGACGGCAGCAGCAGGAUGGCAUUGUCGUCCGAGUCGCGCACGAGUGACAAUUCGUGCUUGAAUCCAUACACAAUCUUGUUGUAAUCGUCUGCAAAGCCGAAAAUAUGUCUCAGGGGUAUGGUGAAUGAAAACGAUCCUUUGUUGGCGGGC
Molecule: long non-coding RNA, 227 nt
Filed under: Mytilus galloprovincialis (Mediterranean mussel)
Lineage: Eukaryota; Metazoa; Mollusca; Bivalvia; Mytilida; Mytilidae
Source: RNAcentral